RNAcentral lists this ribosomal RNA (3111 nucleotides) under Salmonella enterica. RNAcentral describes it as "bacterial LSU rRNA". It matches the Rfam family "Bacterial large subunit ribosomal RNA". RNAcentral also lists the same sequence under 1 other name. Lineage: Bacteria; Pseudomonadati; Pseudomonadota; Gammaproteobacteria; Enterobacterales; Enterobacteriaceae. The record is from RNAcentral.
GGGUUGUGAGGUUAAGCGACUAAGCGUACACGGUGGAUGCCCUGGCAGUCAGAGGCGAUGAAGGGCGUGCUAAUCUGCGAUAAGCGCCGGUAAGGUGAUAUGAACCGUUAUAACCGGCGAUACCCGAAUGGGGAAACCCAGUGUGAUUCGUCACACUAUCAUUAACUGAAUCCAUAGGUUAAUGAGGCGAACCGGGGGAACUGAAACAUCUAAGUACCCCGAGGAAAAGAAAUCAACCGAGAUUCCCCCAGUAGCGGCGAGCGAACGGGGAGGAGCCCAGAGCCUGAAUCAGCAUGUGUGUUAGUGGAAGCGUCUGGAAAGGCGCGCGAUACAGGGUGACAGCCCCGUACACAAAAGCGCAUGUGCUGUGAGCUCGAUGAGUAGGGCGGGACACGUGGUAUCCUGUCUGAAUAUGGGGGGACCAUCCUCCAAGGCUAAAUACUCCUGACUGACCGAUAGUGAACCAGUACCGUGAGGGAAAGGCGAAAAGAACCCCGGCGAGGGGAGUGAAAAAGAACCUGAAACCGUGUACGUACAAGCAGUGGGAGCCCCACCACUAAGCCAGUGGUGAACUCCACAUCCGCAUCCUUUGCUGAGGAUACGGUUAACGGAGCGAAAGCGACGUUCAACCGCAAAACAAGCAGAGGGGGCUUAGUGGUGGGGUGACUGCGUACCUUUUGUAUAAUGGGUCAGCGACUUAUAUUCUGUAGCAAGGUUAACCGUAUAGGGGAGCCGGAGGGAAACCGAGUCUUAAUUGGGCGUUAAGUUGCAGGGUAUAGACCCGAAACCCGGUGAUCUAGCCAUGGGCAGGUUGAAGGUUGGGUAACACUAACUGGAGGACCGAACCGACUAAUGUUGAAAAAUUAGCGGAUGAUCUGUGGCUGGGGGUGAAAGGCCAAUCAAACCGGGAGAUAGCUGGUUCUCCCCGAAAGCUAUUUAGGUAGCGCCUCGUGAAUUCAUCUCCGGGGGUAGAGCACUGUUUCGGCUAGGGGGCCAUCCCGGCUUACCAACCCGAUGCAAACUGCGAAUACCGGAGAAUGUUAUCACGGGAGACACACGGCGGGUGCUAACGUCCGUCGUGAAGAGGGAAACAACCCAGACCGCCAGCUAAGGUCCCAAAGUCAUGGUUAAGUGGGAAACGAUGUGGGAAGGCCCAGACAGCCAGGAUGUUGGCUUAGAAGCAGCCAUCAUUUAAAGAAAGCGUAAUAGCUCACUGGUCGAGUCGGCCUGCGCGGAAGAUGUAACGGGGCUAAACCAUGCACCGAAGCUGCGGCAGCGAACGUAUCACCCAAGACAACUUUACGGAGUUGACGAUUGACGGAGCGAAGCGACGUCAAAGCGUUCAUUAAAGUCGAGUUGGCUUAGGGAUACGUUCGUUGGGUAGGGGAGCGUUCUGUAAGCCUGUGAAGGUGUGUCGUGAGGCAUGCUGGAGGUAUCAGAAGUGCGAAUGCUGACAUAAGUAACGAUAAAGCGGGUGAAAAGCCCGCUCGCCGGAAGACCAAGGGUUCCUGUCCAACGUUAAUCGGGGCAGGGUGAGUCGACCCCUAAGGCGAGGCCGAAAGGCGUAGUCGAUGGGAAACGGGUUAAUAUUCCCGUACUUGGUGUUACUGCGAAGGGGGGACGGAGAAGGCUAUGUUGGCCGGGCGACGGUUGUCCCGGUUUAAGCGUGUAGGUGUGUGUUCCAGGUAAAUCCGGUUCACUUUAACACUGAGGCGUGACGACGAGGCACUACGGUGCUGAAGCAACAAAUGCCCUGCUUCCAGGAAAAGCCUCUAAGCAUCAGGUAACAUCAAAUCGUACCCCAAACCGACACAGGUGGUCAGGUAGAGAAUACCAAGGCGCUUGAGAGAACUCGGGUGAAGGAACUAGGCAAAAUGGUGCCGUAACUUCGGGAGAAGGCACGCUGACACGUAGGUGAAGUGAUUUACUCAUGGAGCUGAAGUCAGUCGAAGAUACCAGCUGGCUGCAACUGUUUAUUAAAACACAGCACUGUGCAAACACGAAAGUGGACGUAUACGGUGUGACGCCUGCCCGGUGCCGGAAGGUUAAUUGAUGGGGUCAGCGCAAGCGAAGCUCCUGAUCGAAGCCCCGGUAAACGGCGGCCGUAACUAUAACGGUCCUAAGGUAGCGAAAUUCCUUGUCGGGUAAGUUCCGACCUGCACGAAUGGCGUAAUGAUGGCCAGGCUGUCUCCACCCGAGACUCAGUGAAAUUGAACUCGCUGUGAAGAUGCAGUGUACCCGCGGCAAGACGGAAAGACCCCGUGAACCUUUACUAUAGCUUGACACUGAACAUUGAGCCUUGAUGUGUAGGAUAGGUGGGAGGCUUUGAAGUGUGGACGCCAGUCUGCAUGGAGCCGACCUUGAAAUACCACCCUUUAAUGUUUGAUGUUCUAACGUGGACCCGUAAUCCGGGUUGCGGACAGUGUCUGGUGGGUAGUUUGACUGGGGCGGUCUCCUCCUAAAGAGUAACGGAGGAGCACGAAGGUUGGCUAAUCCUGGUCGGACAUCAGGAGGUUAGUGCAAUGGCAUAAGCCAGCUUGACUGCGAGCGUGACGGCGCGAGCAGGUGCGAAAGCAGGUCAUAGUGAUCCGGUGGCUCUGAAUGGAAGGGCCAUCGCUCAACGGAUAAAAGGUACUCCGGGGAUAACAGGCUGAUACCGCCCAAGAGUUCAUAUCGACGGCGGUGUUUGGCACCUCGAUGUCGGCUCAUCACAUCCUGGGGCUGAAGUAGGUCCCAAGGGUAUGGCUGUUCGCCAUUUAAAGUGGUACGCGAGCUGGGUUUAGAACGUCGUGAGACAGUUCGGUCCCUAUCUGCCGUGGGCGCUGGAGAACUGAGGGGGGCUGCUCCUAGUACGAGAGGACCGGAGUGGACGCAUCACUGGUGUUCGGGUUGUCAUGCCAAUGGCACUGCCCGGUAGCUAAAUGCGGAAGAGAUAAGUGCUGAAAGCAUCUAAGCACGAAACUUGCCCCGAGAUGAGUUCUCCCUGAGACUUAGAGUCUCCUGAAGGAACGUUGAAGACGACGACGUUGAUAGGCCGGGUGUGUAAGCGCAGCGAUGCGUUGAGCUAACCGGUACUAAUGAACCGUGAGGCUUAACCUUACAACGCCGAAG